This 562-nucleotide ribosomal RNA is filed under the name Candida albicans. Its description in RNAcentral is "partial large subunit ribosomal RNA". It matches the Rfam family "Eukaryotic large subunit ribosomal RNA", at positions 56 to 633 of the family's 3401-position model. The record is from RNAcentral. Lineage: Eukaryota; Fungi; Ascomycota; Pichiomycetes; Serinales; Debaryomycetaceae.
GAAAAGAAACCAACAGGGAUUGCCUCAGUAGCGGCGAGUGAAGCGGCAAAAGCUCAAAUUUGAAAUCUGGCGUCUUUGGCGUCCGAGUUGUAAUUUGAAGAAGGUAUCUUUGGGCCCGGCUCUUGUCUAUGUUCCUUGGAACAGGACGUCACAGAGGGUGAGAAUCCCGUGCGAUGAGAUGACCCGGGUCUGUGUAAAGUUCCUUCGACGAGUCGAGUUGUUUGGGAAUGCAGCUCUAAGUGGGUGGUAAAUUCCAUCUAAAGCUAAAUAUUGGCGAGAGACCGAUAGCGAACAAGUACAGUGAUGGAAAGAUGAAAAGAACUUUGAAAAGAGAGUGAAAAAGUACGUGAAAUUGUUGAAAGGGAAGGGCUUGAGAUCAGACUUGGUAUUUUGCAUGUUGCUCUCUCGGGGGCGGCCGCUGCGCUUUACCGGGCCAGCAUCGGUUUGGAGCGGCAGGAUAAUGGCGGAGGAAUGUGGCACGGCUUCUGCUGUGUGUUAUAGCCUCUGACGAUAUUGCAAUUCUACACUUAGCACUGCGGUUUUUACCUAGGAUGUUGGCAUA